GAUGAACGCUGGCGGCGUGCCUAAUACAUGCAAGUCGAGCGAACAGACGAGAGUGCUUGCACUCUCUGACGUUAGCGGCGGACGGGUGAGUAACACGUGGGUAACCUACCUAUAAGACUGGGAUAACUUCGGGAAACCGUAGCUAAUACCGGAUAAUAUUUAGCUUCGCAUGACGCAAUAGUUAAAGACGUUUCUGCUGUCACUUAGAGAUGGACCCGCGGUGUAUUAGCUAGUUGGUGAGGUAACGGCUCACCAAGGCAACGAUACAUAGCCGACCUGAGAGGGUGAUCGGCCACACUGGGAAUGAGACACGGCCCAGACUCCUACGGGAGGCAGCAGUAGGGAAUCUUCCGCAAUGGACGAAAGUCUGACGGAGCAAUGCCGCGUGAGUGAAGAAGGUUUUCGGAUCGUAAAACUCUGUUGUAAGGGAAGAACAAGUACGUUAGUAACUGAACGUACCUUGACGGUACCUUACCAGAAAGCCACGGCUAACUACGUG
RNAcentral lists this ribosomal RNA (499 nucleotides) under uncultured bacterium. RNAcentral describes it as "partial 16S ribosomal RNA". It matches the Rfam family "Bacterial small subunit ribosomal RNA", at positions 28 to 507 of the family's 1533-position model. The record is from RNAcentral.